UGAAAUGCGAAACGUAAUGCGAUUUGCAGCAUCUGUGAGUCAUCGAGUCUUUGAACGCACCUGGCACCCGAGGCUGACUCGGGUAUACCUGUUUGAGCAGUGGAAACAAUGCAAGUGAGCGUCAAGCGAGUCUUGUCGCUUGAAAGACGUGAGUGCUGGCUGUGCGGAAGACGCGGCCGCCAUGUGUCGAUGGGACUGUGGUCUCUGAUUGUGGCGGCGGCGGCUGGAAGUGCGGGAUCUGCAGCAUCAGGCGUGGGGUGAGGGGGAUUUGUUGGGUGGAGGGUGUGCGAGCAAGCGAUUGCUGGCGUCAACACCAGACACCCAACCCCACCACACCCGCCCACCAAACAUCACUCUCAAAUCAGGCAAGAUUACCCGCUGAACUUAA
Molecule: unclassified non-coding RNA, 388 nt
Filed under: uncultured fungus
Lineage: Eukaryota; Fungi
Description: sequence contains ITS1
Rfam family: 5.8S ribosomal RNA (bases 1-102)
Source: RNAcentral